This 2241-nucleotide long non-coding RNA is filed under the name Marmota monax (woodchuck). The record is from RNAcentral. Lineage: Eukaryota; Metazoa; Chordata; Mammalia; Rodentia; Sciuridae.
CCCAAGCCCAGAAGCUGGACACCCCACCUCUAGUCCACCCGCCAUUAGCAGCCUCAAUCCUGUUCCCCAAGUGGAGACCUAGCUCCGAGGACCUAGGUUCAAAUACAGCCCUCCCAUUUAUUAGCUGUGUGGUUUUGGGCAAGUUACUUGACCUUUCUGAGUCUCUGUUUCCUCAUCUGGAGACUGAACCCAGGGCUGCUCUACCAUUGGGCUACAUCACCAGCCUUUUUUAUUUUUGAGAUCGGAUCUCAUUAGGUUGUGGAGGCUGGCCUCCAGCUUGUGAUGCUCCUGCCUUACCCUCCGGGAAGCUGGGGUCACAGGCUUGCAGCAUGGUGUCCAGCUUGUUGGGAGAUUUACAUAAAAUGAUUUAUGUGUGGUGCUCUGCCCGGUUCCUGGAUGAUGGUACAGCCCCAGCCGAUGACUGUAAAGUCGAUCGGAUUCUUCCAGGAACUUGGAGUUUUGGCAGCAUCUCCCUCCUGACGUGGACGGGCUUCAAAACAGGGUGUGACCCAUAACUGGUCUGUGACUCUGCCUAACCGCAUGGUGCUUAUCCAUGCAAGGGACUAUCGUCCCCUUCAGAGAGUCACCUCGGGAAGCUCUGCCCCACCCAGAGACACCCUGGACCCUGACACUUCUGGGAACGUUGAUCUUGGAAGUAUCUCCAAAGUUGAUCUUGGAAGUAUCUCCAAAGCCUGGAGGACAUCCAUUCUCUAAGGCUGGGUCUGGACCCCAGACUGCGGAUUGUGGGUUCACGCUGAGAAAUACUGAUAAGGAAAAAAGGGAAUGAAACACGCGGUGAGGGUGGACAGACGUUCCCUCCCACGAAAGGUCCCGGCUGUGCUUUAAGCAUUUUUUUUUUGAGAGAGAGAGAGAGAGAAAAUUUUUUAAUAUUUAUUUUUUAGUUUUCGGUGGACACAACAUCUUUAUUUUAUUUUUUUUUAUGUGGUGUUGAGAAUCGAACCUAGCACCCUGCGCAUGCCAGGCGAGCGUGCUACCGCUUGAGCCACAUCCCCAGCCCUGUGCUUUAAGCAUUUUUAAAAUAAAUGUGUAGAGGAUGGUGCUGUUCAGGGUUGGGAAGAGACACUUGGGGUAUCAAAGUACCUGGCCCUUAGGGGGCUGACCUGGGCAGAAGGUGAUGUGUUCCCAGAAACAAUUGUCCCCAGAGGUCACAUCAAGGUUGUUUGGUGUUGUUGUUGUUUUGCUUUGUACUGGUAAUUGAACCCAGGAGCAUUUUAUUUGUGAGCCACACCCCAACCCCUUUUUAAAUUUUUAUUUUGAGCUGGACACAUUAGUUCACGCCUAGAAGCCCCCUUGGUAGGGAGGCUGAAGCAGGAGGAUAGCCAGCCUCAGCAACUUAGUAAGGCCAAAGCAACUCAGCAGGAUCCUGUCUUUAAAUAAAAUAUACUCAAAAGAGGGCUGGGGUGUGACUCCGUGGUUAAGCGCCCCUGGGUUCAAUCCACUAUAGCCCCCUCAAGUAUUUUUUUUUAUUUUUUAAAUUUUGAGAUAGGGUUUUGCUAAGGUGCCCAGGCUGGCUUCAAACUUGCAUCCUCCUGCCUCAGCCUCCCAAGGUGCUGGGAUUACAGUGAAAAACCAGCCUCUACCUCAGAGCAAAGCCUGUCCAAGGAAGGGACAUGACCUUUGUCCUUGGAAAGACCCACAGAGCACUCCUAGGCACAUACCCACCCUGCUAAGUUGUUUAUCUACAAAUAACAGGAGAGAUCUGCUGUGCCAGGUGUCCCUGACUCAGUCAGGCUAGGUGGGGACCCAUAGCAACCCUCUAGCAGCCAGCAAUCAGCAUGAGACAGGGAAAUACCUGGGAUGCCAGAUGACCCUCCCAGUAGUUUAUGGUGUUGGGAAACCAUGUAGUUCAGCAUGAACACCCCUCUUGGCUUAAACCAAUCAGUUCAAAUGAAUCCCCCUCUUGUAGUAACCAAUCACCCCUACCCAACUAGUUCCCGCCAGUGAAUGUGCUAAUCAUGUUUUAGAGUUAUUGUUUGAUUUUCCCACGGUGUGUGAUGAUUUGCUAAGAGAUGCUAUGAUGUAUGUGAAGUCCCUGCCUUCCCCAAAGAGUGUAUAAAACUGCUGCAAACCCUGGGCUCCGGACCUCUCAGCGUCACCAGUUGCUGUGUGCACACGGAAGACCGAGCUAGCUCGCAAUAAACACCUCUUUGCUGCUUACAUCGAUCUUGGUCUCUGGGGGUCUUUUGGGGGUCCCAAACUCGAGCAGAACAACAGGCUGCA